Gallus gallus (chicken) is the source of this 1261-nucleotide long non-coding RNA. NCBI's taxonomy places the organism in Eukaryota, Metazoa, Chordata, Aves, Galliformes, Phasianidae. The record is from Ensembl.
GGAGCAGCACUGUGCAAAAGUUGAGACUAUUCAACACUUCCUUAAUGACGAGGAUGACCACCGUUUGCCUACAGACUAUCCUCACGAAGUGAAGUCACUGGAGUUGACAAUGACCAUGUCCCUACUGCACAUCAGCAUCCCAUGGGCUACUCAUUCAAGCAUCACCACACACCUCCUAUUCCUCAGGCACUGACUCUGCAAGGUAACUGUUCUGCCUUGUGUUUUCCAUCACAACCCCUCUACCAGGAAGCUUUACCCACUGAUCAAAGUGGAACCACUGUUUGUAAUGCUCUCUUUCAAUACGUAUACAUCACCUCUAGAGAUCCCAUACUGGUCCCACCACUCUCACUGCUAUGGAAUGAAGAAGCAUCAUCCACCACUUAAAGCGCUGUUGCUUCCUUAGCAAAUCUGGCCAAUGCAUUUUACCUCUCAGGGCAUUCCUCAGUAAUAUAUAGAUAAGUCCCAAUGGGACAAUUGUGCAGAGCCAGCUCAUCCUGCACCCAACCCACUGAGCACCCAGACAAGCAGAUGCUCCUCCUGCACAGCCUGAAUUUCCCGUCUCCCUCUGCCUCUCAGCUGGAUCAUCACAGAACAGAGCUCUCCUCUUGUUUUGCUUUCAGAAGAGACUUGGAAAACUUAUCAUCUUGAGCACGCAUUGUUAUUUUGCUUUAAUUACACAGGCUGCCUUUUAUUUUGAACUCUGUUUGGCUUUUUUUCUGAUGGAUGUUUUAGUGCUCUCUGGGCAUUGGUACUCUUGUUUAUGAAACAGCCGGAGAGCUGUGGCUGGUGGGUGCCAUAAAAAUCAAAUGCAUUAUUAUUAUUGUUAUUGUUAUUAUGAUGACUUGCUGGCUAAGCAUACACAGCCUAGGAAUGAAAAACAUCUCUGUUAUGUCAGGAAUGGGGAGAAAACAAAUGCAGUCUUCAGCAUUGCAAGAAAAAAAUGGCAAUAAUAAGGCAAGCUCUGAUUUCAAAUAGACUCUCAAUUGGUUGUGAAAACAUGUGUAUUUAUUUAAGCCAGCAGUGUCACAGAUAACCAUCUAUUACAUGGUUAAUUUUCAAUGAAUAUGUUUCUAAUAAUCAGUUGAUAUAUAAACAUACAAUAACUGUCAUAUUAAACCUUGCAUCAGAUUUAUAAGAUAAGGAUUUUGCUGUGCUGCUAUUUCAAAUUCGUGGUGAUUAUCAAAACCAGCCCAACCCAAAGAUUAGUGUCUUUAUCACUCCCACACUGCUCUCGUUAAUUCUUAAUAAAUCUGCUUUCAAU